Molecule: ribosomal RNA, 442 nt
Filed under: uncultured bacterium
Lineage: Bacteria
Description: partial 16S ribosomal RNA
Rfam family: Bacterial small subunit ribosomal RNA
Source: RNAcentral
CCUACGGGAGGCUGCAGUAGGGAAUUUUUCACAAUGGGCGAAAGCCUGAUGGAGCAACGCCGCGUGCAGGAUGAAGGCCUUCGGGUUGUAAACUGCUUUUAUAAGCGAGAAAUAUGAUGGUAACUUAUGAAUAAGGAUCGGCUAACUACGUGCCAGCAGCCGCGGGCAUACGUAGGAUCCGAGCAUUAUCCGGAGUGACUGGGCGUAAAAAGUUGCGUAGGUGGGAUAAUAAGUAGCUAGUGAAAUCUGGUGGCUCAACCAUUCAGACUAUUAGCGAAACUGUUAAGCUCGAGACCGUUAGGGGUAACUGGAAUUUCUAGUGUAGGAGUGAAAUCCGUAGAUAUUAGAAGGAACACCAAUAGCGUAGGCAGGUUACUGGGACGGUUCUGACACUAAGGCACGAAAGCGUAGGGAGCAAACGGGAUUAAAUACCCCAGUAGUC